This 961-nucleotide ribosomal RNA is filed under the name uncultured bacterium. RNAcentral's name for it is "bacterial SSU rRNA". It matches the Rfam family "Bacterial small subunit ribosomal RNA", at positions 486 to 1447 of the family's 1533-position model. The record is from RNAcentral.
GAAAGGGACGGCUAANUACGUGCCAGCAGCCGCGGUAAUACGUAGGUCUCGAGCGUUGUCCGGAUUUAUUGGGCGUAAAGGGAGCGCAGGCGNUCAGGAAAGUCUGGAGUAAAAGGCUAUGGCUCAACCAUAGUGUGCUCUGGAAACUNUCUGACUUGAGUGCAGAAGGGGAGAGUGGAAUUCCAUGUGUAGCGGUGAAAUGCGUAGAUAUAUGGAGGAACACCAGUGGCGAAAGCGGCUCUCUGGUCUGUCACUGACGCUGAGGCUCGAAAGCGUGGGUAGCGAACAGGAUUAGAUACCCUGGUAGUCCACGCCGUAAACGAUGAGUGCUAGGUGUUAGGCCCUUUCCGGGGCUUAGUGCCGGAGCUAACGCAAUAAGCACUCCGCCUGGGGAGUACGACCGCAAGGUUGAAACUCAAAGGAAUUGACGGGGGCCCGCACAAGCGGUGGAGCAUGUGGUUUAAUUCGAAGCAACGCGAAGAACCUUACCAGGUCUUGACAUCCCGAUGCUAUUCUUAGAGAUAGGAAGUUACUUCGGUACAUCGGAGACAGGUGGUGCAUGGUUGUCGUCAGCUCGUGUCGUGAGAUGUUGGGUUAAGUCCCGCAACGAGCGCAACCCUUAUUGUUAGUUGCCAUCAUUAAGUUGGGCACUCUAGCGAGACUGCCGGUAAUAAACCGGAGGAAGGUGGGGAUGACGUCAAAUCAUCAUGCCCCUUAUGACCUGGGCUACACACGUGCUACAAUGGUCGGUACAACGAGUUGCGAGCCGGUGACGGCAAGCUAAUCUCUGAAAGCCGAUCUCAGUUCGGAUUGGAGGCUGCAACUCGCCUCCAUGAAGUCGGAAUCGCUAGUAAUCGCGGAUCAGCACGCCGCGGUGAAUACGUUCCCGGGCCUUGUACACACCGCCCGUCACACCACGAGAGUUUGUAACACCCGAAGUCGGUGAGGUANCCUUUUAGGG